This 779-nucleotide ribosomal RNA is filed under the name uncultured Neocallimastigales. RNAcentral describes it as "partial large subunit ribosomal RNA". It matches the Rfam family "Eukaryotic large subunit ribosomal RNA", at positions 19 to 639 of the family's 3401-position model. Lineage: Eukaryota; Fungi; Neocallimastigomycota; Neocallimastigomycetes; Neocallimastigales. The record is from RNAcentral.
CGAGCACGCGCGUGUGGCAUAUCAAUAAGCGGAGGAAAAGAAACUAACAAGGAUUCCCUUAGUAACGGCGAGUGAAGCGGGAAGAGCUCAAAUUUGAAAUCUUCAAGGGUUCUACCUUUACGAAUUGUAGUUUAUAAGAAGUGUUUUCUGUUAGUAGAGUGGCUAAAAGUUCUUUGGAAUAGGACAUCAUAGAGGGUGAGAAUCCCGUAUUUGGUACAUUCCUCCUAGCUGUUGUGAUACACUUUCAACGAGUCGGAUUGUUUGGGAAUGCAGUCCAAAAUGGGUGGUAAAUUUCAUCUAAAGCUAAAUAUUGGCGAGAGACCGAUAGCGAACAAGUACCGUGAGGGAAAGAUGAAAAGAACUUCGAAAAGAGAGUUAAACAGUACGUGAAAUUGUCAAAAGGGAAGCGUUUGACACCAGUGUUGUUUUUCCGAAAAUCAAUCACGAAUGUUUUGUUUUUGAGGAGUUAUGACUUCAUCGGCUUGCUCCUUUCUUUACGAAACUUUCUUAAUGCACUUUUCGGUUAACAAGUCAACAUCAAUUUCUUUUGUUGUAAAAGGGUAUGAGGAAGGUGGCUUUCUUUUCGGAGAAAGUGUUUAUAGCCUUGUGCCUCUGCAAUCGGAGAGAUUGAGGUCUGCAGCGUAGAUCCUUCGGGGCUAGAUACAUUUGUGCUAAGUUAUAGCUUUUCAUAGACAACUUGUUGACUAUGCUUAGUCUUGUAGCUUACUCGCUUAUGCUAUUUUACCUACGCUUAGGAUGUUGAGCGCAUGUCUCUCUCU